RNAcentral lists this transfer RNA (69 nucleotides) under Marmota monax (woodchuck). RNAcentral's name for it is "tRNA.Thr". The record is from RNAcentral. Lineage: Eukaryota; Metazoa; Chordata; Mammalia; Rodentia; Sciuridae.
GGAGUUGUGGCUCAGCGGUAGAGCGCUCAUCUCGUAGGAGCAGGACCCUGGGUUCGAUUCUCAGCACCA